This 253-nucleotide ribosomal RNA is filed under the name uncultured bacterium. Its description in RNAcentral is "partial 16S ribosomal RNA". It matches the Rfam family "Bacterial small subunit ribosomal RNA", at positions 524 to 776 of the family's 1533-position model. The record is from RNAcentral.
UACGAAGGGGGCUAGCAUUGCUCGAAAUUACUGGACGUAAAAAGAGCAUAAACAGGUUAUCAAGUUGGAGGUGAAAGCCCAGGGCUCAACCUUGGAAUUGCCUUCAAAACUGAUAGCCUAGAGUAUGAUAGAGGUAAGUGGAACUCCGAGUGUAGAGGUGAAAUUCGUAGAUAUUCGGAAGAACACCAGUGGCGAAGGCGACCUACUGGAUCAUGACUGACGCUGAGGCUCGAAAGCGUGGGGAGCAAACAGG